UCAGCCGUUAAUUUACCUCAGGAAACGGGGCCUCGUUUGGCGCCCAGGCGUUUCCUUUCCCUCCGAGAGAGAGAGAGAAGGGCGCCUGGCCUGGCAGCCGUGGUUCAGGCCGGGCUGGGAAGGAGGGAAGAGCCGGCCCGGGUCCCCUCAGCCGUGGCUGGAAGGAAGGCCCCGAGGAGACAGGCCGGGAAGGGCGGGCUCUCUCUCUCUCUCUCUCUCUCUCUCUCCUCCCGCCACCCAGAGCCGGAGAGAGAGGUGAAUCAGGGCCCGUGCUGUGGCCUCGCCUGGGUCAGUCUACUUUCUUUGGGAUUAAUCUGGAGUUUAAAGAGGAGACGCCUUUCCUUUUGGGAGUCACUUUUACCUCAGGAAAGGCUUUUCUUCCCGUCCAGAGGACCCUCUCUCUCCCACUUGAUUAAAUUUCUUUAUCGAACCUUUACCUCAGAAAAGCCUUGUGAAAUAGAAAGAAGAAAAUGCCAAUUUUAUUUAUUAAGAGAUGGUUAUCUCAAACUUUACCUCAGAAAUGGCAAAGCCUUGUGAAACGAAAGGGAGAAACAAAGACAAUUUUUUUGAAAAUUAGCACAGCUUUUUCUGAAGGGACCAGCGCUGAAUUCAAGUCAAAGGGAAGAAAGGGAAGAAACAAAAGGUCGAAGAGACAGAAGACGGAAGAUGCUUGAAGACACACUCGCAAGGACACCGCCCCCCCCCCCCCAAAAAAAGGUCAUUGUCAGGGUAAUGGGUGUAAGGCUAGGCAUUUAAUGUCUAUCUUUGCAAUAAAAAACAGGCUACCUGUGUGCUAGGCUUUUGCAUGAAUAACACGGUUCCCCUCGUGUGUGGCAUCGAAGUUUCCCACUCGGGAACGGACGGGUCCUCCCUUUGUUCUAGGCAGAUGAUGGGGGUUUUCCUAUACAAGCCGUAGGGGCCACAGCUUGGGGGGCAGCGGGGGGCCCGGCCCUGGCACCGCGGGGAGCAGCACACAUUACGGGCAUUUUAAAAGCUCCCUUAAACUUAGACAGUAGCUAGAAAUAAAAAUAUUAAUACCUUAACUCACCUACUAACUCUACUAACACUAUUCUAACUAGGGCAGCCUGGCCUUUUAAAUAGGACUGUGUUUUGCCUGCUGGCAAGAACCAAGCUGGGGGGGGCCUCCUGGCCCCCAAUAGAAGGGCUCCCAUAGAAGGACAUUUCAAAAUGCCCGCAAGGUGUCCUGAGAGCAGCCCCUGGGGCCCUCAGUGUGCCCCCCACGGUGCCAGGGCUGGGCCCCCCGCUCUCCCCCAACCCAUGACCCCUGCCGCCUGUAUAUCGUCCGUCCAGGGCCAACGGACGCCCCCUCCCUCCCCGGGCGGAGCUUCGGCGCCACACACAAGGGGAGGCCAGCCGUGGCCGCCAGAACAUGGCCAACCUGGUUUUUUACUGCAAACAUAGGCAUGUAGGGACCCCCUUUUAUUUAUGUAAGGCCACCCACCCAGGGGACCUCUGUUCCUAAUUAAAGCCUGGUUAAAGGGGAUCCUCUAUUCUUAAAGUAAGGCCUAUAGAGAUCUCCUAUCCAGAAACUAAGGCGGCCUGGCCUAUAGAGAUCUCUUGUU
Molecule: long non-coding RNA, 1583 nt
Organism: Anolis carolinensis (green anole)
Lineage: Eukaryota; Metazoa; Chordata; Lepidosauria; Squamata; Anolidae
Exons: 3
Source: RefSeq, a predicted model, not a curated record